This is a non-coding RNA of Arachis ipaensis, 592 nucleotides long. Lineage: Eukaryota; Viridiplantae; Streptophyta; Magnoliopsida; Fabales; Fabaceae. The record is from RefSeq and is a predicted model, not a curated record.
UUGCUUUGUAUAAUAGAUGACCUGUUUUCACAUUAAGAUCAGUGUAUUAGUACUUCUAUUGAUUAGGCACAUCUUAUUAAAAGAUGGGAAUCUUUUUUCUUUUAACUGCUUUUUGCAAUUGGUGUGUAACAUGGAAAGGAGAUAAACUCUGCAGUGGUUGCAGUAAAGUGCGGUACUGCUCUGAGAAACAUCAGGUAAAGAGCAAUUGGAUGAGAAUGAAGGAAAUAAUAUAGAGGAGCAAGACAAGGAUUAUAUUAAUCCAAUUGAGACUAAGGUCAUAGAUAAUACUGUGAAAGAGACAACAGUGAAGAAAACAUGAGGACCUACAGAAUGCUUGAAGAUUCAUGCAGGACAGUUGAAAGAUAGAGAAAAAAUUACUCUAGAUAUUGAAGGAGAGGCAAUUGGUCCUACUGAUGAAGUUGUAAACAACUUGAGCAAAUUGGGCACAGUGGCAAGGAAUUCAGAUAUUUGUCCAUUAAUUUUCACAAACUGCAAGGGGAUUAAAGAUAAAGAAGCUAUUUGGGAAUAUGUUCAAUUGAGAAUAUUAGUCUUGUUUCUUUUAGAAACAUAAGGACAUGUACACAUAUUUUAU